RNAcentral lists this ribosomal RNA (518 nucleotides) under uncultured bacterium. Its description in RNAcentral is "bacterial SSU rRNA". It matches the Rfam family "Bacterial small subunit ribosomal RNA", at positions 22 to 518 of the family's 1533-position model. The record is from RNAcentral.
GGUCAGGACGAACGCUGGCGGCGUGCCUAACACAUGCAAGUCGAACGGGGAUUUGUUUCGGCAGAAUCCUAGUGGCGAACGGGUGAGUAACGCGUAGGCAACCUGCCCUCCGGCCGGGGACAACACUCCGAAAGGGGUGCUAAUACCGGAUACGAAGUCUGUGCCGCAUGGUACGGAUUUGAAAGAUGGCCUCUAUUUAUAAGCUAUCGCCGGGGGAUGGGCCUGCGUCCGAUUAGCUGGUUGGUGGGGUAACGGCCUACCAAGGCGACGAUCGGUAGCCGGUCUGAGAGGAUGAACGGCCACAUUGGGACUGAGACACGGCCCAGACUCCUACGGGAGGCAGCAGUGGGGAAUCUUCCGCAAUGGGCGCAAGCCUGACGGAGCAACGCCGCGUGAGUGAGGAAGUUCUUCGGAACGUAAAGCUCUGUUGUUCCUGACGAACCUCCCUUCUAUCAACAACGGAAGGGACUGACGGUAGGGAACGAGGAAGCCACGGCUAACUACGUGCCAGCCGCCGC